This 500-nucleotide ribosomal RNA is filed under the name uncultured bacterium. Its description in RNAcentral is "partial 16S ribosomal RNA". It matches the Rfam family "Bacterial small subunit ribosomal RNA", at positions 30 to 523 of the family's 1533-position model. The record is from RNAcentral.
AUUGAACGCUGGCGGAAUGCUUUACACAUGCAAGUCGAACGGCAGCACGGACUUCGGUCUGGUGGCGAGUGGCGAACGGGUGAGUAAUGUAUCGGAACGUGCCCAGUCGUGGGGGAUAACGUAGUGAAAAUUACGCUAAUACCGCAUACGAUCUAUGGAUGAAAGCGGGGGAUCGCAAGACCUCGCGCGAUUGGAGCGGCCGAUAUCAGAUUAGGUAGUUGGCGGGGUAAAGGCCCACCAAGCCAACGAUCUGUAGCUGGUCUGAGAGGACGACCAGCCAGACUGGAACUGAGACACGGGCCAGACUCCUACGGGAGGCAGCAGUGGGGAAUUUUGGACAAUGGGCGAAAGCCUGAUCCAGCCAUUCCGCGUGCAGGAUGAAGGCCCUCGGGUUGUAAACUGCUUUUGUACAGAACGAAAAGGUUUCUACUAAUACUAGGAGCUCAUGACGGUACUGUAAGAAUAAGCACCGGCUAACUACGUGCCAGCCGCCGCCGUAA